UAUUUUGGGUUAGCAGUGGCGUAAGGGUGCUUAACACGUGGGUAAUCUGCCGCGAAGUGUGGGAUAACUCGCUGAAAGGCGAGCUAAUACCGCAUGUGAUUUUCUUGAGGCAUCUCAGGGAAUUCAAACAUGGGUCGCAAGACCUGUGGUUUCGCGAUGAGCCCGCGGCCUAUCAGCUAGUUGGCGGGGUAAAAGCCCACCAAGGCUAAGACGGGUAGCUGGUCUGAGAGGACGACCAGCCACACUGGAACUGAGACACGGUCCAGACACCUACGGGUGGCAGCAGUCGAGAAUUUUUCACAAUGGGGGAAACCCUGAUGGAGCGACGCCGCGUGGGGGAUGAAGGGCUUCGGUUCGUAAACCCCUGUCAUUGGCGAACAAGUGUUACGUUCUAAUACAGCGUGACUUGAUAGUAGCCGAAGAGGAAGGGACGGCUAACUCUGUGCCAGCAGCCGCGGUAAUACAGAGGUCCCGAGCGUUGUUCGGAUUCACUGGG
This 496-nucleotide ribosomal RNA is filed under the name uncultured Verrucomicrobiota bacterium. RNAcentral's name for it is "bacterial SSU rRNA". It matches the Rfam family "Bacterial small subunit ribosomal RNA", at positions 80 to 558 of the family's 1533-position model. Lineage: Bacteria; Pseudomonadati; Verrucomicrobiota. The record is from RNAcentral.